GAUGAACGCUGGCGGCGUGCCUAAUACAUGCAAGUCGAGCGAACAGAUGAGGAGCUUGCUCCUCUGACGUUAGCGGCGGACGGGUGAGUAACACGUGGAUAACCUACCUAUAAGACUGGGAUAACUUCGGGAAACCGGAGCUAAUACCGGAUAAUAUAUUGAACCGCAUGGUGCAAUAGUGAAAGACGGUUUUGCUGUCACUUAUAGAUGGAUCCGCGCCGCAUUAGCUAGUUGGUAAGGUAACGGCCUACCAAGGCAACGAUGCGUAGCCGACCUGAGAGGGUGAUCGGCCACACUGGAACUGAGACACGGUCCAGACUCCUACGGGAGGCAGCAGUAGGGAAUCUUCCGCAAUGGGCGAAAGCCUGACGGAGCAACGCCGCGUGAGUGAUGAAGGUCUUCGGAUCGUAAAACUCUGUUAUUAGGGAAGAACAAAUGUGUAAGUAACUAUGCACGUCUUGACGGUACCUAAUCAGAAAGCCCCGGCUAACUACGUG
This 497-nucleotide ribosomal RNA is filed under the name uncultured bacterium. Its description in RNAcentral is "partial 16S ribosomal RNA". It matches the Rfam family "Bacterial small subunit ribosomal RNA", at positions 28 to 507 of the family's 1533-position model. The record is from RNAcentral.